Non-coding RNA from Podarcis lilfordi (Lilford's wall lizard), 14221 nucleotides. NCBI's taxonomy places the organism in Eukaryota, Metazoa, Chordata, Lepidosauria, Squamata, Lacertidae. The record is from the annotation of a GenBank genome assembly.
GGAACUGACUCUGAGCAAUAGAAUAUUGUCCUGAACCUUCCGUAAUGUCAAGUGUCCUCCACCAGGCUCAGAGGCUGAUUGGUAAACAAUUUCAUAUGGAAAAUCCUUUGGAUGGUUGAGAGUUUGUUAAAAACAAGGCAAGACAAAAUAUGGUUUUAUAAAGUUUCAGGGGUCACCUUGCAAAGUGAGAUGGUGACUUGCACCGUACUCCGUAGGAGUUAUUGUACAGAGGCAAAAAAUGAAAAGGAGAGAAAGUUCAUCUCUGACCUUCUGCUUUCCUUUUAGAUACAUAAAAAUAGAUAGAUACUUGCAUACAUACAUGGUAUUUAUAUACUGGUAAGUUUAGUGGGCUACAGAAAUGGAUGGCGGAGGAAGCAUAUAAAGGGUAGGGUAAAAGCUAGUGUUCUUAGUCUGAAAUUAAAUAUUUAUCAUUGGACUGCACUUUAGUCCAAAGAAUCUGAAAAUAAAUUCAUGUCACAAGCCAAUUCAAACAUUUUUUUGAGAAUGGCUGGAAACUGGAUUUCUUACAUUCCGUAUUGGAGUUGCACUAUAUACAGUCAUACCUCUACUUACGUAUCCUUCUGGAUAUGGAAUCUUCAGGUUACAGCCACGGCAAAUCCAGGAGUAAAUCCAGACCCCCGGAACAAAUUAAGUUUGUACCCAGAGGGUCCACUGUAGUUGGUAAUGUGAAUUCUCACAGGUGUUCAGCUUGUAGGACACACAAGGUUAGGGCCACUAUAGGAAGAAUGAUUCUUUAUAAGCAGGCAUCCUGGAAACCUGUGGAGUACAGAGUCCUUUAGCAGUUUCCAGUAUUCCUAGGCCCUUUUCUGUUCCUUUCAGGAAUCACUUCCAGCUUCAGGUGACUUUCUUUCCUUGGAAGAACUUGGUGGGGUUGGGGACUGGAUCGGACCAGCAGGCAAAUUCAUUAUCUCCCCCAUCCUUAAUGGGACAAGCAGCACACCACAGUGGUAUAAGGUGACCUGAUGCCUGCAGGGCUCUUGCAAAACACUGCACACCACAGCUCUUUGAAGGGGCUUCCCAUGACCCAACAAUCAACUGGUUGUUGGGUUUAUAGAAGCCCCUUUCAAAGUGCUGCCUUCCUCAGUGCUUUGCACAGGAUGAUCAGCAGUGUCUGCACAGCCCUUUCAGCUGAGUGACGUUUUUACCUGCCACACACCUGGCAUCAUAUAAUAUGGCAUCAGCAGUAGCACAGGGCAUGACAGUGCCUGGCUGAACUAUGGAAUUCCUCCCCACAGGAAGAAGUGGUGGUAACUAACUUGAAUAUUUCAAAAGAGAGAGAAUUUGUGUUUUCAGUUAUUAUUAGUUAAGGCUAUUGGUGGCUACUAGUCAUGUUGGCUAUGCUCCCUCCCCAUGACUGGAGGCAAUAUGCUUCCGAAUACCAGUUGCUGGAAAUUGCAGGAGCAAUUGUGCUCAUGUCCUGCUUCCCAUAGGCUUCUGGUUAGAAACAGGAUUCAGGACUUGAUGAGUCUUGGCCUGAUCCAGCAAGCUUUUCUCUUCUACCUAUUAUGAGAUAGAGGAUAAAAGCUUCUCUCUAUCCACUUUCUUCACACCACACACCAUCUUAUACAUCCCCUCUUACUGCAUUUCUUUUCUAAACUUAAAUGUUCCUUAAGAGCUGCUUCAAUCCCUUGAUGAUUAUUGAUUGCCUUUUCUGAACCUAUUUGAGUUCUACAAUAUUUUUUUUGAGUUGACCUCAACUAUGCACAGUACUCCAUGAUACACUUACAAAAUAAUUUACAUUAAAAAGUUUGUUCUAAACAGAAUGUGCUGCAAAGAGUGAUUUACAAAGAUUUGCCCCUAACCAUUAGCUUCUUGUAGCACUGGGCAAGAAGCGUUGGGCAUUUAGAGGCUAGCUCUAAUAUGAAGCUUGGGGAAAUACCUUCAUUCACUGCAGAGCAAAAAUGUUUUGGAGAACAUUUAUAAAUGUUUUGUAUUUGGAGAACAUUUAUAAAUGUAUCUUUUAGCCUUUUCAUAUUGGACAAAUCUACCUCUUUGUUGUUCUUAUUUAAAAUUCUUUUAGUGGACCCUAAAGUUUUGUGUGCUUCCAGUUUAACCUUUGUGGCCCAUCCUAUACUAUUUAUCAAAUUAUAUUUUUUCCUCUUUCACCAUUGUCCUAUCUAUCAUACUUGGAGUGCACGCCCUCUGAGCAAGCACUGGGUCAUUUCUGUGUUCUCUACAAUGCUGAGCACACAGUUGGCAUUAUAAGAAUGUCAAAUACUAGCAGUGGUCAUAAUAAUGUCAAGUAGCGUAAGUAUAUUCCUGUUCUAUUUUUGUUCCUUGACUGACAGACAGCCACAAUCUCAUACAGUUAUGAACACUGAAGUACCCUCGAAAGCUGUGGGGUUUAAGUGGAUAAAAUUUCUCUGUGUUGUGGCCUAUGGCUGUAUACACACCACACAUUUAAAGCAUCCCCUCAAAAAAGAAUCCUGAGAACUGUAGUUUAUUAAAGGUGUAGGGAAAUGUUGCUUUGUGUGUAGUAAACUAGAGUUCCCAUUAUUCCUUUUUAGGGGGGAGGGUGUGCCUUAAAUGUGCUUUAUGGUGAGUAUGCAGCCUGUGUCUUUUGCAGACACAGAAUUUCUGCAUAUAACAUUUUUUUUAGUUAAUUAUCUCAAUGAGUGAUAGAAAAGCCUUCAAGGUAUAUGUAUUUAGAAUUAUUAAUUCUUAGUUAAUUGGUUGUGAAAAUGAUAGUAAUGCUUGUUAAAUGUCAUUUUCAGGAUGCACAUUUCUUCUUGUUGUUGUUGUUUGCUCUAAAGCUGCAAUCCUGCACACAGUGCACACUUACUUGGAAGGAAGCCCUGUGGAACUCAGUAGGAUUUACUUCUGGGUAAACAUGCACAGACUCAGGCCCUACAGCUUUCAUAUCUUUAUAUUAGGAUGAAAAAUAGCAAAAUAAUUCCACAAAAGCAAAACUUAUAGAGGAAUGUUGACUUUCUAGUUAAUAAAAGAUUAUUUAGAAGCCUGGUCCAAGAUCCUUACUGCAGAAUACCUGCCGAUUUCAUUGCCAUGCAAGGUCAGUAAGUCAAAUACAGUGGCUGUAUUUUAAAAAGGUUGAAUAGCUUUAUGAUCAUUGAGACCAUUUAUAGCUGUGAAAGCUCAAAUACAGUUAAAUGUGACAAGGUCUCAGGCCGUAGGGCAAAAGUAUAUUGUAAGGCUUUAAAAAGAUUUUUGCCCUAGAUAGGAGGAGGCAUUUUUUAUAUAUAUAUUAGAAAGGAAUUGUAAAUAUAUUUUCACUAGAGUUUUCUUUUCUUUUUCCAAGAAAAAGAUAAAGAAACAUAAUAUAGCAUAAAUGUGGAUGCUAACAAAUAAUAAUAAUAAUUAGAGCAAAUGUAUUACGUAAACAGGAAACAAAAUCUGUGGCACACUGGUUAUAUCCAAGGUGCCUACCAGUCUACGCUGGUUGUGACCCUAAGUAUCAUCUAGUCCAACCCCCCGCAAUGAAGGAAUAUGCAGCUGUCCCAUCUGGGGUUUAAAUCUGCAACCUUGGUGUUAUUAGCAUCAUGCUCUAACCAGGGACACUUAAAUAACAACCAUCCUCUUCCAACUCUAUGAUUCUACAACAAAGUCAUUGUCAUACAUAUAAAUAAAGGAACUUAUGGACUAAUGAUACAUAAGGCAUAGACCCAUUUGAUAGAACCAGUCACCUUUUGGCAUCAGCAGUUGGCAAUUUAGGGUUGUGUCCAAUGAAGUUGUUGUGCUUGUCCACUUAAACAAUGGAACUUCUCUUUCUUUUUCUUUCCUUGCAUGCCCGUGUACAGGCACAUACACUCAGAUCCUGGGAGGCGGGUGUCCUCAACCCUACCAAAUAGAUGGAGGCUGGGGCAAGAAGCGAAGGAAUGGAAGUUCUGUUGCAAGAACAGAAGUCAUUCUGCAAGCACAUUGACUUCACUUGAAACAACCUCCAGUGUUUGCUACGAACAAACACCAGGGCUAAUUCCUGGUAUUUAUGGAUUGUGGAGAACAUUUCCUAUGACAACAGUUUCCAGAAGCAUGUGCAGCUUUGUUGCACAGCAAGUCUAUCUUUGCAGGGAGUCCAGCUAAGGUGCCUUAGGAAUCAUUGUAAAUAUUGCUCUGCCAACAAAGUGGAUCUCCAUUUGCAGGAUGGUACCUACGCUACAGAGGAGCCCCCAAAAUGCUUGAUGAAAUUCCACCUGUGGCAGGGUCCAAAAAGGAGCAUGUGGGGGAAGAUCUUGGACCCAAGAAAUCCCAAGCGCCCUUGUUUUUCCCAACAUUACCCUCAAAAGGGCUGAAAACUAUGCCCGCCCUGGAGUUGAGAUAGUUAAUUCCUCUUCUAUUGGUGUCAAUGGGAAGUUUUUUUUUUUAAUUUGAUGGAAGAAAAUAAAGAAAAAAAGCCCACUUUCCCACCAUGCUUGCAGAAAACUAGAAGGGCAUAAAUCUUGGCAGUAGCUCCACCAUGGACCCCCCUCCUACACAAUUCAUAGUAUUGUUUUUUGUUGCAGCAAUAAAAAAUAAAAAAAGUCUUGCUGCAUCUUAAAAACUAACACAUUCAUUACGGCAUAUUUUUUGUGAAUUACAGCAAUCAUCAGAUGCAUAAUAUGGAUUCCUGCACUGCUCCAUUGAAAGCAAGCUUGAACAACUUAUGACCCACCAAGCUAAAUGAAAGACCACCAUCCAUCUACAAGUGUGGCCCACCAGAGGCUCAGUAAGACUCUCUCUGUUUAUUUAUCCAUGCCUGGGAUUGAAUAGAAAAAUACUGUUCUAUUUCCACUUUCUCCUUAUCUAUGAUCCAAUGCAUCUUCCUCCUAGCUGCUCCCAGUAGUGACAGACAGCAUCUAUUGUCCUUUGGGACACUAAAGGAAUUCUGGUAUAAUAUCACUUAAAUAUAAACUGGCCAUUUCCUCAUUUUAGUUCGGUAAAAAUGGGAAAGCAGCAAUGCAGCACCAUAAACAUUGAUAAUUCUCCAGUUUGACAGAUAUUGCUGCAGGGAUCUAUACUUGAUCCUGUUUUCUUUAUGGUGUUUAAUGAUCAGGAAGAAAUGUUACAAAGCAAGCUAAUUAAAUUUAAGGAUGCUACUUGGGUUGAAUGGACUUGUUUACAGUGAGGAGGUCACAGAAUUCAGGUGUGAGCUUUGCCAAUGCAAGGACAAGCACCAUGUUGUGUGCUAGGGCAUCGUAAGAUGUUUAUGGACGCAUCAAGUGUGCAUUUAUGUGUUUCUAUGUAACAGUAGUAGUCUCCAAUCCAAUGUAUGGGCAUCAUAUGAUGGGAAAUAGGAUUAUCAAUGAUGGGAAAAGAGAGUAUAAAUGCCGCAUGACAGGGGUAGACAAUGUGGUACCAGUCAGAUCUCAUGGCCUACAUCUCCCAUCAUUCCUGACCAUGCUGGCUGGUUCUGAUGGGAGUUGUAGUCCACACCAUUUGGAUGGAACCCCAUCUUUAUGUGGUCUACCCCUGCUUUAUAUAAAUUUCCUGGGAAAAGUUCAAUUUCAUAUGGAGGUAAUGAAAUUGCUGUAUCACCAAAAGGCUGUGACUCAAUGAUUUUAUAACAUUUUCUGGGGGAUCUGCAUGUAUAUGGUGAUAUACCCAGAGUUUCCUAAACUUGGGUCUCCACCUGUUUUUGAACUACAAUUCUCACCAUCCCUGACCACUGGUCCUGCUAGCGAGGGAUGAUGGGAGUUGUGUUAGUUUCUGUUUCCUCACUGUACAGCUGCUUGCAAUCAUAGGACUGUGUUUACAUUCCAGAGUCCAGAUACAGUUGGAGUCUCACGGGAAAGGGAGACGGGAUGUGACGUUACUGGUUUCCUGUUUCCUUUGUUCCUUUGCUCCUUUGUGUUCAGUUGCUCUCUGCUCUCAUAGAGAGAAGAUGGAUAUUUCUUUGCUCUUUGCAUAGCUUAGUAAUAAAGCAUGGUGUGUAGCCCAUACCUAUCUCAUCCUUCCUCUGUGGUGUUGUUUUAAUGCUCUGCUGGGAGGGCUCGGAGGAAGAUGAGCCUUAUCAGCUUGGACGAACGGAUCUGAAAUCCCAGUAAGUUGUAGUCCAAAAAGAGCUGGAGACCCAAGUUAGGAAAUCCAAGUUUGGAUUUCCCAAUUUUGAGAAAUCCAUUUUGAUACCCUUACACCAGAUUGCAUGGCAAGGCCCCAAACCAGCCCCUUGUUAGAAUAAAAUUCACACUGACACAGAAUUUUGGUUUAAGGUUAUUGGGCAAAAUUUUAGGCCACAACUUUAUUGAUUACAGAAAUGUGAACGGUAUUGGCUUAGGCAUUGGCAAAGCACUGUAUCAGACUCCUGCCCCCUUUGCAGGAAGUCAGUAAGGGUAAACCACCCAAAGAGGAAGCCACAUCGGAGGAACUCGCCUGUAGCUCUCCUCGGUGUCCCCAGAGGCCUGGCAUGGCCCUAGCCCCUCAAGUGGACUUCAGACAGGAUCCAGGCCCUGGAUUCCUUUAAUGGAAUACCCUUGGUCAAUGGAGGGGCAGGCGAUGGCUGAUCUCCCCUCCCCCACAAAUCAAUGAGCCGGUGCCUAACCGCCAAACCUUACAAAGUUGUGACGAUUGCUAAGAGGUAGGCAAAAACUAAAUGGCCAGUGCCAAUCUGCCAAAAGGAAAAAUUCCUACCUGGCCCACAUCCCAACACAGGUGACCAACCAAAGUCCAAAGCAAGGCCAGAGGACAUCUAAAAUAAAGAGCGGGUAGGUGGGUGUUUGGCAGCGCAAAGCAGGUGCCUGACACGCGUCAGGCUGCCACUUUUUAAUCCCUCCAUGAUCACCCCACACAAAAGUGAUUGUCCAAGAUUGUGGUGCCACCCUGGCAUGACAGCAUUACUCUGCCCACGCCAGGGGAGGAGGAACCAGCCUGAGGGUCUGCCCACAACCAGGACCAUCCUUAAAGAUGAUCCCACUUAUCCUGCUACAAAGAUUUCUGUAGAAUGGAUCCACCCUGAAGGAAAUGAAAAAAAAAAAAUAUUUAUUUGAGAAAUAAGUUUUAACUCUCUUCUAUUUACUGUACAAUAAUGAAUAACUCUUUUCCAUGUUGCUUCCUCUCAGAAAUGAAUCUUCAUGUUAGUAGACUUAGCCGCAGAGGCAGCAGGAGAUGGAUGUUGAUUCUGUGUAAAUGUUUCACAAUGGGUUAGUAUGAAUGAAAAGACAUAUAGAGUGACUGCCAGCAGUGUAUGUCUCUGAGAGACAAGGGAAACAGGGCUGCAAAUGCCAAUAAGGUUUUAGUAUUAACCUAGCAGCUUCUCUGUGUUAGACCCUUAAGUGUCAGUUUAUGUAGGUCAUUCUGUAAUUGUCAAAAUGUCUUUAGGAUGGGGUAUAGGCUAUUGCUGCCUCUCGUAUGCUGGCCUGGCACCCCUACGACACCCUCUCUGACUACACUGAUUUCUGUAACUUUGUACAACUAGCAAGAAUGACAAGCAUUGCAAUGUCAACUUACAUCCUAUGUUUGGCCAGCAGUAAGUUGCAUGACAUUAGUGCAUCCUUGCUGCACACAAUACUGAACACCAUUUUGCUGGCCCUGCUAUUGUUCUAGAUUGGAACUUUAAACGGUAUAUAAAAUGGGCAGGACCCUCUAGGUGCUGAGCAGGACCCUCCAGGUGCUGCCAUUGCUGGUUAGGGCUGAUGGGAGCCAGAGACAAAUAACAGCUAUAGGAUUGCAGGCUCCCAAGCCCAGGUAUUGGUUUUGAUUUCAAAUGGUAUAAAUACAUUGCUGAUAUCUUUAUCUUCAGUUGCUUGGGCUGUGGCUUCCAAGUUAAAUCUCCUCAAUAUAUUGCCUAGAAAUCUACUGCUGUGCCUACAAAUUAUUUUAAGAUAUACCCUUGAUUUGGUUCCAGCUGUGCAUGGGUAAUGGAGAACAGCUUCAGUAUUAACAAAAAGACCUAACAGACCAGAUGGAAAGUGACUUUGUUGAUCAGUGUUCAUAGCAGAAUUGUAAUAUGCAGACAUGAGUAAGCUUAGAUGAGCCAAGAUAAGAACACUCCCAAGGUCUUUGCCAUUUUUUUAUUUCUAUUUUUAUAAAGUUGUUUAUCAGAUAUGUUAAGUAUUUAGGUUUGAUUUGCAUUUCUAUUUUCACUUCCCAUCGGAAGGGACUCUUUUCUUCUGGUUUGAUUUUCCUUUCUUUUUAAAUCAACAGCAUUUAACAUUCAUUCCAUCUCUUAGUGUUUGUGGCUUCCUUUUCUUGAGGCAAUUGUCAGAUGCUGGAAAGUCAGACAAAAUGAAAAGUAAUCAUUUGCGAACUGAAGUUGGGUGUUACUUAGUGUGUCAGCCGGGGAUGGAGGAGAAAUUUGGUUCUAUUCACAUGCUAGUAUGCGUAUGCACUUCCUGAAACAAUAAGUGAAAUGAAAUACAACUAUCCCUCAUAAUGUACAUAUCUCUGAAUUUCUCAGUGCAAUUCUCCAACCAACAAAAGUGUACAAAGAUAUAGAUAGAUGGUACAGACAGAUAGAUAGAUAGAUAUAGAUGAUGAUAGAUGAUAGAUGAUAGAUAGAUAGAUAGAUAGAUAGAUAGAUAGAUAGAUGAUAGAUAGAUAGAGGGUACAUUAAAAUGCACCAUUUAUUUAUUGAUUUGUUCAUAGGAUUUCUCACUGCCUUCACUAUAAGGUGUGUGGAUGGGUUACAGUAGUGUAAACAUAUUAGCAUAAAUAUCAUGUAACAAUCCAGUGGUGGAAGUUGCUUUCAAAAUGCUUACAAAUACCAUAUUAGGCAAAAUAGCAAACAAAAAUGUGGUUGCUCUUGUAAUGAGGAGGACUCCAGCAAAACUGGGGCACAACCUAACGUUUCCUCCACAUGCAAAACAGAAUUUAUGACAUGGGGCCUUCCCAUCUCACCCUUACCUCUGUAUCUCCCUGAGCACUCCUAAAAUAUGUUAUUGUGUGUUGGGAAUACAGUGGGAUAUGAUCAGCUGGUGUCCCUUACAACUGGAAGACAGGAAGACAAUAGGUGGAGCCAGAGCCAAUGUGAAGCUGAGCCUACUAAUUCUAGUUUUGUUCCUAGCCAAUUCCCUGAUGAGUUCUACAAGAGCAACACUGAGAUGAAGAUGGAAGAAACUGACAGUCAAAGCCACCCUCUGGACUCAUUGUAAGUAAGAAAGUAGGAAGGUGGGACCUGCUGGUGAGAGACAGAUGUUGGUGGGGCUCUGACCAUCCUCCACAGGAGCAGGGGGACUGUAGUGUAGACAGAAGAAGAGUUGCUAAAAACCACUUCUUUCCCUUACGUGCGUUGUGCAGCAACCUAAGAGCCAAGUCAUCCUACUGACAAUGUACUGUUGCGAGACUCUGGAAAACAGCCACAAAAAAGACAUGUUUCCAGAACAGUUCAGCAUCUGCACUCUCACACCAUCACUUUCUUAUCACAAGGGAUUUUGUGAGAGGAGAAGAGAGGAAAAUACAAGAAGCAGCUAAAGAAAUUGCUUAAAGAAAGAAUCUGCUUAUUCCAUAUGAUUUUCGGGAUACAUUACAUUAAGCAAAGACUGUGUGGUUGCAUAGUCUUCAUUCAUUCCUUCCCUCCAUUCUGUGAAUACUUAAGCAGGCAUGUUGACCUUUGCAUGAGUAAAGUUAAGCCUCCAUGCAAUCAUUCUGGAAACUAAGAGCUAAUUAGCAGUUUCUUCGUGCAACAAAAGUUCGUUCAGUUUGUUAUUUUUAUUUUUUUUAGACGAGCACUGUUAGCUGUCAAAAUCAACUAGGUUAUUAGCAUUGGAAUCAGAAACACUUGUGAUAAGAAAGAAAGAUGGUAAAUUAAACAUUCAUAUUUUAUCUCAGUUUCUGAAAUAUAUGUUCUUAAGUCUACUUUGAAGUAUGUGAUUAAAUUCUCUGAAGCCUUUUUAUCUCCUCUUGAUUGCUAAAAUUCCUAUCAGUGCCAAAAUGCAUAGCUGGUACUAUAUAUAAUCAAACUUGUUUCUUUAUCUUCAAAAGUAAGAUCUAACUUGUUAUGAAUAAACAUAAACAGUGUGCCUGUUUCUCGUUCAUUAAAUAUAAGUUUUAAUAUAAAAAAGGGGCAUGCUCAGCAAUGGCAGAUGGUUUUGCAUCCAGUCUUCCAAAGUAGACUGGGAUGCCUCUGGUCCAGUUUCUGGAUAUCACAGGUCUUUUGUGGAUGGACCCACAUUAUAGCAUUCAUUCAUGCAUGUUCAAGCAGCUGACAGGGGUGUAUUUUGUUCUCCCCCUUCCUAUUUUACCAUCACAACAAUCCUAUAAAGUAGGUCAGUUUUCAUAGACUUUCUUUUUAAAAAAAGAAACUUAUGUACAGCUCCUGUUGUAGCACUAUUAAAUUUGGUUUCAUUCUUGAUUUAUUAAUAAUUUUAUUAUUAGAAUAGAAUUUAUAUAGCCACUAUUUCUGUAGUUACAUAGCAUAGGGAUGGGGUGGCAAUGUUGGUGGGGUUACAGGUAGGUAGAUGUGUUGGUCUGCCAUAGUCGAAACAAAAUAAAAAAAAAAUCCUUCCAGUAGCACCUUAGAGACCAACUAAGUUUGUUAUUGGUAUGAGCUUUCAUGUGCAUGCACACUUCUUCAGAUUGGGCUCCAAUAUUUUGGGUGGGGAACAGACUUUUGUCUCUUGUGGCAAAAUUUGUAGGUCUUCACUGAUUGUGCCUAGUCAGAUAAUUUACAAAGGUUCCUAGAUCGGAACCACAUUUUCCUCACAACAAUAGUGUUUUGGGAUAAAGGCAGACAGCCAAUAAUAUGGGGAGCACACCAGCCCAGUGGCAUUUCCCUGUCUCUAUGUGUGAAUAACUGUCAGCCUGAAGUGUCUGAAAAUGGGCAGAGAAAUUGAAAUCUGGGUGGGGGAGGAAGAUAUAACCCAAUACAAAAAAAAGGAAAUUGAAAAAUAAAGUAACAGUAAUAACAAAGCAUAAUAAUUUACAAUUACUGGCCUAUAAAUGUAAUUUACAGAGUUGCCAUGAGAUAGUAUUUGGAAGAGUCUGCCAAAAGAAUGGCAAUUUGCAUGUAAUUGCCGAUAAUGUGUCUCCUUUUCCUUUACUGAGUUUUUUUGUAUUUCACAUGUUACUGGGAUUCAAUUUGCCUUCUGUUUGCUUUGCUUGUCUUAUAUAAUACUUUGUUGCUCAGAUAUGAAAAUGGAAUUUUCAUACUCAUGUCAUCUGCUCUAAGGCAUCAAUGUAAGAACAAGCCUAUACUCUGGUUUCUCAGUGUACAGUAAAAACCCAAAUGAAAUAAAGAAUGAGACAAUUAGUUUACAUGCAAAAUCUUGUAUUUUCAGCUUGGUUUGAAAGUGUAUCCCAAUACGAAUAUUUUGAUAUGAAACAGAGGAUAGGAACUAUGACUGGGUAGUAAUACAUGUACUGCUGAUGAAGUAGUUUUACAUGGUUAUUUUACAUGGUAAUUUUUGUAUUCAUGCAAUGUCCUGUAUUCAGAUGCUUACUGAGGUGGCGUAGGAAAACAGGUUCCAAGGUCACCAGCAAUAUAAGCUGUUAUUCACAAUCCUAACAAAGUUGAGGAGGGCUCCCCAAAAUAUUAUGUACACAAGCACCCUUGGAAAGAGGGACCCAGUUUCCAAGUUAAUCUCUGUCAGCCCUCUUUGUCAAGUUUCCUUCUAAAGCAAAACACUGACAAUAUAUUUCAGUAACUGGUGGUGAGGAAACACUACAGCUUGGGUACUAAUUUCCAUGUACAGAAUUCCACUAACACAAAGGGUCUUUCUUACCGCUCCCUUUCUGCCACCUUUCUCACUACCCUACCAAAUGUGGUGUUGAGGGUUGGGGGUACCCUCUGUGACAGGGAGGGAUGUGCUCAGUGAGAAGUGCAAAUCAACAAAACAACACCGGGGGGGGGGGGGAAACCACCACUCUUGUGCUCACAUAGCAAACCUGUUAUCAUGUAAAUACCUUAUUUGAGUUAAUUCAUUCCCUAAUUAAAAAAAACAACAACUUUUUUAUACGUUAUGCAACAUUCCUUGGUCAGCAAUGUCACUGAAGUCAUAUGGUCAUAUAGUCCUUUAAAAAUAAAUAAAGGUGUAGACACUUGUAAUUGUGUGCAGACACAACCAACAGUCUAGUAGUGUACAGAUUAACUACUGUCCCUGUACAAUGUAUGAAUACACAUCCUGGGUAAGCAAUGUUCAAAUACCCAACUUCUCAAAUAAAUAUCUGAGUGCCAUGUAUGACCAUUCUAAACAGCAAACAAACAAAAGUAUGUGGAUAUGAGCAGCUUGAACAGGUCCAACCACACACUGUCCUUUUAAGAUGUUGAUAACUGCCUCUGAAUGAGAAGAUUUAUCACUGAUGUGGGCACUGAGCUAUAUAAAACUCUAGUGAGUAAAAUAUAACGCUUAGCUCUUUCAUCAAGGUCUCACCUUUACUUAAUGUUCUUUUUUCUUAGUCUAUGGGGUGGUGGAUAGGGUGGGACAGAAUCCUGGACCCGUAGAAUUUUAUGAUGAUUAAAUAUUACUUUCAUAAUGGUAGGUGACUCCAUCUAUUAAUUCUUUAAUCUAUCAUUUUUUUGUACACUCAGUAAGAAAGCAACAUAACUCAAAGACAGAGCUAUGUGUGUGAUAAAAGUAAUAUAUGGCCCUUCAUUUCAGGUGGUAUAUAUAACAUAUUCUAUGGCACUGUAAUGGAAUGUAUUUAAUUUUCAUUCAUCUUCCUUGACAUUUUAAGAGUUCUGAGGACACAUGGUUUAAACACCUUUUCUGCACCCACAACUAGCGAUUAGAUUAUGUAACCCAUGUGACUCCAUUGCCUAUGACAUUAUCAGAAGCUUCUGUGUAUCCCUGACCCUUCCUCAAAUGAGCUUCUGCACAGAUGCUGAUCAGACAAUUGUGCAAUAAGUCUUAAAACAUAGAAAGAUCCCUGUAUUUGUGUGUAGGCUUGCUCAAAUAACUUUGUCUAUCUUUUGAUAAAAGAUGGCUAACGUAAUUUCUAUUCUUAUGUCCAAGGAACACUGCUGCAAAUGAGAGCACGUGGUGGUAGGUGCGAUGGAUCUAUUUCAGGUUUGUGCUAAUAUACAUGUGUUCAUUCAUAAAUCCAUUCCAUCCCAUUUCCUCAUUGAAUAUGCAAUUUGAAAUAGUUCUGGGCAAAUGUGAUUUGUAAAUUUAUUUUUAAAAGCAUAUUUGACAAUAAAAUAUUUUUUUUGGAAAAAAAUGUAUGUUUCAAAUAUAUAUACACAUUGCUAAACAUAUUUUAUCAAAAAUGCAUAGAAUCAUAGGAUUGUAGAGUUAGAAGGGUCCCUGAGGUUCACUGAAUCCAAAAACCCUGCAAUGCAGAAAUAAAUUGGACAACAAAUAGCUCAUUUGGUUGAGCAUGAGACUCUUAAUCUCAGGGUCAUGGGUUUGAGCCCCACAUUGCAGAAAAUAUUUCUGCAUUUCAGGAACUUGGUCUAGACGACCCUCAGGCCCUUCCAAAUCUAUACUUCUUUGAUUUUAUGAAUGGAUGCACUGUUACUAAUAGAAUCCUUGCCAACUUCCUGGACCAUGGACUAUUAGUAGAGCAGACAUCAUGUUUUAAUGCAUUUUUGAUCUGAGAACUGCAUUGCAAAUAUUGUAGAAGUGUGAAAUUCAAAGGAAAAUUAAGUUCUGGUCUAUGAAGUGCAGAUCAGGCCAGUUCACACUAAAAUUCACAGAAAUUGAAUUCCCCAAGCAUCUCUAACUUAUAAUACUGGAAUUGCUAGAGCAAUAAGAAGCAAUUGAUUUCUAUCAAGAGGUUCAGUGUCAUAUAGUGGCUAAAGUUGGGUUUUGAUGUGGGAAUUUAAGGCUAAUUCUUAAGCCAUGAAAUUCACUGGUGGCGUUGAGCAAGUCAGGAUGUCUCAAUCUAAUGUUCCUCUCAGGAUUGUUGUGAUGAUAAAAUGGGAUAGCUCCUAAGACAAUGGGACAAACCCAAAUUGCAACAUAAACAGAAUGCCGCAAUGAAUGGGGCAGCCAACGUGGAAUUGUGUUUAGCACGUUGGUGCCUGCAUGUGUGAAUCUGUCCACUACUGCUAGGCAACUAUAGAUGGAACAAUGCACCUGAAAUCUUUUGCAAACUUUGCAAGCUAGUGCUGGGCUGAAAUCUAUGCUUCAAUUUCUCAAGCCAAGGGGGGGGGGUAUUCCCCAGUAAAAGCUACAUCUGUUUUUCUGCUUUAUUUACAGGGCAUUUUAGGAUGUCUUCAGAGGCAGGCUGAAUUCAACUAGCAUUGUCGAAGAACGCAAAGAGAGAGAGGAACGGAAAUUUUCAAUGUUUGCUUGUUUGCCCCAUGUCCAUAACAUAAAUUAAUCCAGAGAAUAUGAUGUAUAUUCACUGCUGUUGCUGUUUUCAGUCUGCAAAUGAAGCUUAAUUGAUGCCC